UCGGGAAUAUUGCCCAAUGGACGAAAGCCUGACGCAGCGACGCCGCGUGGGUGAUGAAGGCCUUCGGGUCGUAAAGCCCUGUCAAGAGGGACGAAACCUCGUCGACCUAACACGUCGGCGACCUGACGGUACCUCUGAAGGAAGCACCGGCUAACUCCGUGCCAGCAGCCGCGGUAAUACGGAGGGUGCAAGCGUUGUUCGGAAUCACUGGGCGUAAAGCGCGUGUAGGCGGCCUUCUCAGUCUGGUGUGAAAGCCCGGGGCUCACCCCCGGAAGUGCAUUGGAUACUGGAAGGCUGGAGUACCGGAGAGGAGGGUGGAAUUCCUGGUGUAGCGGUGAAAUGCGUAGAUAUCAGGAGGAACACCGGUGGCGAAGGCGGCCCUCUGGACGGAUACUGACGCUGAGACGCGACAGCGUGGGGAGCAAA
Molecule: ribosomal RNA, 426 nt
Filed under: uncultured bacterium
Lineage: Bacteria
Description: bacterial SSU rRNA
Rfam family: Bacterial small subunit ribosomal RNA
Source: RNAcentral